GGUCUCCGUAGGUGAACCUGCGGA
This 24-nucleotide ribosomal RNA is filed under the name uncultured Alternaria. RNAcentral describes it as "partial 18S ribosomal RNA". Lineage: Eukaryota; Fungi; Ascomycota; Dothideomycetes; Pleosporales; Pleosporaceae. The record is from RNAcentral.